Molecule: ribosomal RNA, 465 nt
Filed under: Vreelandella stevensii
Lineage: Bacteria; Pseudomonadati; Pseudomonadota; Gammaproteobacteria; Oceanospirillales; Halomonadaceae
Description: partial 16S ribosomal RNA
Rfam family: Bacterial small subunit ribosomal RNA
Source: RNAcentral
CCUACGGGAGGCAGCAGUGGGGAAUAUUGGACAAUGGGGGCAACCCUGAUCCAGCCAUGCCGCGUGUGUGAAGAAGGCCCUCGGGUUGUAAAGCACUUUCAGUGAGGAAGAACGCCUGGUGGUUAAUACCCAUCAGGAAAGACAUCACUCACAGAAGAAGCACCGGCUAACUCCGUGCCAGCAGCCGCGGUAAUACGGAGGGUGCGAGCGUUAAUCGGAAUUACUGGGCGUAAAGCGCGCGUAGGUGGCUUGAUAAGCCGGUUGUGAAAGCCCCGGGCUCAACCUGGGAACGGCAUCCGGAACUGUCAAGCUAGAGUGCAGGAGAGGAAGGUAGAAUUCCCGGUGUAGCGGUGAAAGGCGUAGAGAUCGGGAGGAAUACCAGUGGCGAAGGCGGCCUUCUGGACUGACACUGACACUGAGGUGCGAAAGCGUGGGUAGCAAACAGGAUUAGAUACCCUAGUAGUC